RNAcentral lists this ribosomal RNA (252 nucleotides) under uncultured bacterium. Its description in RNAcentral is "partial 16S ribosomal RNA". It matches the Rfam family "Bacterial small subunit ribosomal RNA", at positions 524 to 775 of the family's 1533-position model. The record is from RNAcentral.
UACGUAGGGGGCAAGCGUUGUCCGGAAUCAUUGGGCGUAAAGAGCGUGUAGGCGGCCAGAUAAGUCCGCUGUGAAAUCUCGAGGCUCAACUUCGAGCUGUCGGUGGAAACUGUCUGGCUAGAGUCCGGAAGAGGAGAAUGGAAUUCCUGGUGUAGCGGUGAAAUGCGCAGAUAUCAGGAAGAACACCCGUGGCGAAGGCGGUUCUCUGGGACGGUACUGACGCUGAGACGCGAAAGCGUGGGGAGCGAACGG